RNAcentral lists this ribosomal RNA (460 nucleotides) under uncultured bacterium. RNAcentral's name for it is "partial 16S ribosomal RNA". It matches the Rfam family "Bacterial small subunit ribosomal RNA", at positions 338 to 795 of the family's 1533-position model. The record is from RNAcentral.
CCUACGGGAGGCAGCAGUGAGGAAUAUUGGUCAAUGGGCGUGAGCCUGAACCAGCCAAGUCGCGUGAGGGAUGAAGGUCCUAUGGAUUGUAAACCUCUUUUAUAAGGGAAUAAAGUGCGGGACGUGUGCCGUUUUGCAUGUACCUUAUGAAUAAGGAUCGGCUAACUCCGUGCCAGCAGCCGCGGUAAUACGGAGGAUCCGAGCGUUAUCCGGAUUUAUUGGGUUUAAAGGGUGCGUAGGCGGCGUUUUAAGUCAGCGGUGAAAGUUUGGGGCUCAACCAUAGAAUUGCCGUUGAAACUGGGAGGCUUGAGUAUGUUUGAGGCAUGCGGAAUGCGUGGUGUAGCGGUGAAAUGCUUAGAUAUCACGCAGAACCCCGAUUGCGAAGGCAGCCUGCCAAGCCAUGACUGACGCUGAUGCACGAAAGCGUGGGGAUCAAACAGGAUUAGAUACCCGAGUAGUC